This 777-nucleotide ribosomal RNA is filed under the name uncultured Neocallimastigales. RNAcentral describes it as "partial large subunit ribosomal RNA". It matches the Rfam family "Eukaryotic large subunit ribosomal RNA", at positions 23 to 645 of the family's 3401-position model. Lineage: Eukaryota; Fungi; Neocallimastigomycota; Neocallimastigomycetes; Neocallimastigales. The record is from RNAcentral.
AGAGAGAGACAUGCGCGCAUAUCAAUAAGCGGAGGAAAAGAAACUAACUAAGGAUUCCCUCAGUAACGGCGAGUGAAGCGGGAAGAGCUCAAAUUUGAAAUCUUCAAGGUUCUACCUUGACGAAUUGUAGUUUAAAGAAGUGUUUUCUGUUGGAGUUUUGGUAAAAGUUCUUUGGAAUAGGACAUCAUAGAGGGUGAGAAUCCCGUAUUUGACCAUUAUUUCCAGCUUUGUGAUACACUUUCAAAGAGUCGGAUUGUUUGGGAAUGCAGUCCAAAAUGGGUGGUAAAUUUCAUCUAAAGCUAAAUACUGGCGAGAGACCGAUAGCGAACAAGUACCGUGAGGGAAAGAUGAAAAGAACUUUGAAAAGAGAGUUAAACAGUACGUGAAAUUGUCAAAAGGGAAGCGUUUGACACCAGUGUUGUUUUUCUGAAAAUCAAUUAAAAGGAACUGAUUUAUGCUAGUUGUAUUAGACUUUAUCAGCUAACUGUUUAGUUUUGAUCUUUUCUUUAAUGCACUUUUCAGUUAACAAGUCAACAUCAAUUUCUUUUGCUGUAAAAAAGCUUGAGGAAGGUGGCUUGAGAUUCGUCUUAAGUGUUUAUAGCCUCUUGCCUAUGCAGUCGGAGAGAUUGAGGUCUGCAGCGUAGAUCCUUCGGGGCUAAAUGCAUUUGUGCUAAGUUAUAGCAUUUUAUAGACAACUUGUUGACUAUGAUUAGUCUUGUAGCUUACUCGCUUAUGUUAUUUUACCUACGCUUAGGAUGUUGAUGUGAUACUGCGAGC